This 501-nucleotide ribosomal RNA is filed under the name uncultured bacterium. RNAcentral's name for it is "partial 16S ribosomal RNA". It matches the Rfam family "Bacterial small subunit ribosomal RNA", at positions 30 to 523 of the family's 1533-position model. The record is from RNAcentral.
AUUGAACGCUGGCGGCAGGCUUAACACAUGCAAGUCGAGCGGGGGAAGGUAGCUUGCUACCGGACCUAGCGGCGGACGGGUGAGUAAUGCUUAGGAAUCUGCCUAUUAGUGGGGGACAACAUCUCGAAAGGGAUGCUAAUACCGCAUACGUCCUACGGGAGAAAGCAGGGGAUCUUCGGACCUUGCGCUAAUAGAUGAGCCUAAGUCAGAUUAGCUAGUUGGUGGGAUAAAGGCCUACCAAGGCGACGAUCUGUAGCGGGUCUGAGAGGAUGAUCCGCCACACUGGGACUGAGACACGGCCCAGACUCCUUCGGGAGGCAGCAAUGGGGAAUAUUGGACAAUGGGGGGAACCCUGAUCCAGCCAUGCCGCGUGUGUGAAGAAGGCCUUUUGGUUGUAAAGCACUUUGAGCGAGGAGGAGGCUACUUUAGUUAAUACCUAGAGAUAGUGGACGUUACUCGCAGAAUAAGCACCGGCUAACUCUGUGCCAGCCGCCGCUGUAA